AGACCUCCACUUCCUGUCCCCGCGGCUCUGUGUCCCCUGCUAGCCUUUGGCCGUGUGACCCGCAGGCACCGGGAGAUCCAGAAGUGAAACGUCAGGCUCUCUGGAGGCCAGGAGAUGCCAUUAGGAAAACAGAGAAGGCAGCCAUGUCCCUACAAGCCAGAAACUUUCCAUUUCCAAUAACUGGAUAAAUCAUUGAAUUCAGCAUCUUGGGGUCAGCAUGAAGAAGGGAGUGGUCAAAGGGACUUCAGCUUCAUUUGGGCCAUUUUCCUGAUGUGGUUGUUGUGUGAUUUGUCCAGAGAAUCUUUCCUAAGAGGAAAUCCCAGAGAAGCAGGAGAAAGAGAAAGGAAUGGCUGGUGCUCAGACACUGUUGACGUUCAGGGAUGUGGCCAUAGAAUUCUCCCUGGAGGAGUGGAAAUGCCUGGAUCUUGCUCAGCAGAAUUUGUACAGGGAUGUGAUGUUGGAGAACUACAGAAACUUGUUCUCCAUUGGUCUCACUGUCUCUAAGCCAGGCCUGAUCACCUGCCUGGAGCAAAGAAAAGAGCCCUGGAAUGUGAAGAGACAGGAGGCAGUAGACGGACA
Molecule: small RNA, 579 nt
Filed under: Pongo abelii (Sumatran orangutan)
Lineage: Eukaryota; Metazoa; Chordata; Mammalia; Primates; Hominidae
Description: processed transcript
Source: RNAcentral